Molecule: non-coding RNA, 250 nt
Organism: Pelobates cultripes (western spadefoot toad)
Lineage: Eukaryota; Metazoa; Chordata; Amphibia; Anura; Pelobatidae
Source: the annotation of a GenBank genome assembly
AAAACAAACUCGUUUUCCUGGCACUAUAGUGCCCUGAGGGUGCCCCCACCCUCAGGGUUCCCCUCCCGCCAGACUCUGGGGGGAGGAAGGGGUUAAACUUACCUCUUUCUCCAGCGCCGGGCGGGGAGCUCUCCUCCUUCUCUCCGCCUCCUCUCCUCCUCUUCGUCUGAAUGCGCAUGCGCGGCUGGAGCUGCGCGCGCAUUCAGCCAGUCCAUAGGAAAGCAUUCACAAUGCUUUCCUAUGGAUGCUG